AUACUUACCUGGACGGGGUCAACAAGCGAUCAAGAAGGCUCGUGGCCUAGAUCAAUGGCUCACAUUGCACUUGGUGAGAGUGUUGGUCUACCAUCUCCCAAUUGAGAGAGUGGACAUCGUAAUUUGUGGUAGAGGGGGUACGCGUUCGCGCGGCCCCUGC
This 160-nucleotide small nuclear RNA is filed under the name Triticum aestivum (bread wheat). RNAcentral's name for it is "snRNA U1". It matches the Rfam family "U1 spliceosomal RNA". From Rfam's summary of the family: U1 is a small nuclear RNA (snRNA) component of the spliceosome (involved in pre-mRNA splicing). Its 5' end forms complementary base pairs with the 5' splice junction, thus defining the 5' donor site of an intron. The record is from RNAcentral. Lineage: Eukaryota; Viridiplantae; Streptophyta; Magnoliopsida; Poales; Poaceae.